UCCCUUGUAGCUCAGUUGGUAAAGAAUCUGCCUGCAAUGCAGAAGACCUGGGUUUGAUCCCUGUGUUGGGA
This 71-nucleotide transfer RNA is filed under the name Bos taurus (domestic cattle). It matches the Rfam family "tRNA". From Rfam's summary of the family: Transfer RNA (tRNA) molecules are approximately 80 nucleotides in length. Their secondary structure includes four short double-helical elements and three loops (D, anti-codon, and T loops). Further hydrogen bonds mediate the characteristic L-shaped molecular structure. tRNAs have two regions of fundamental functional importance: the anti-codon, which is responsible for specific mRNA codon recognition, and the 3' end, to which the tRNAs corresponding amino acid is attached (by aminoacyl-tRNA synthetases). tRNAs cope with the degeneracy of the genetic code in two manners: having more than one tRNA (with a specific anti-codon) for a particular amino acid; and 'wobble' base-pairing, i.e. permitting non-standard base-pairing at the 3rd anti-codon position. RNAcentral also lists the same sequence under 3 other names. Lineage: Eukaryota; Metazoa; Chordata; Mammalia; Artiodactyla; Bovidae. The record is from Rfam by way of RNAcentral.